Molecule: non-coding RNA, 75 nt
Filed under: unclassified sequences
Description: freshwater-2 RNA
Rfam family: freshwater-2 RNA
About the family: Aquatic, esp. fresh water. No recognized genes
Source: RNAcentral
ACUCUCAUGGUGAGAGUUUAUGCGGUCCCCGCCGCGUACCGGCUAGAACCCGGCUUAUAAAGGAGAAAAACAAUG